RNAcentral lists this ribosomal RNA (491 nucleotides) under uncultured bacterium. RNAcentral describes it as "partial 16S ribosomal RNA". It matches the Rfam family "Bacterial small subunit ribosomal RNA", at positions 29 to 507 of the family's 1533-position model. The record is from RNAcentral.
AGUGAACGCUGGCGGUGGGCCUAACACAUGCAAGUCGAACGGCAGCACAGUAAGAGCUUGCUCUUACGGGUGGCGAGUGGCGGACGGGUGAGGAAUACAUCGGAAUCUACUUUUUCGUGGGGGAUAACGUAGGGAAACUUACGCUAAUACCGCAUACGACCUACGGGUGAAAGCAGGGAUCUUCGGACCUUGCGCGAUUGAAUGAGCCGAUGUCGGAUUAGCUAGUUGGCGGGGUAAAGGCCCACCAAGGCGACGAUCCGUAGCUGGUCUGAGAGGAUGAUCAGCCACACUGGAACUGAGACACGGUCCAGACUCCUACGGGAGGCAGCAGUGGGGAAUAUUGGACAAUGGGCGCAAGCCUGAUCCAGCCAUACCGCGUGGGUGAAGAAGGCCUUCGGGUUGUAAAGCCCUUUUGUUGGGAAAGAAAAGCAGCAGGUUAAUACCCCGCUGUUCUGACGGUACCCAAAGAAUAAGCACCGGCUAACUUCGUG